This 472-nucleotide ribosomal RNA is filed under the name uncultured bacterium. Its description in RNAcentral is "partial 16S ribosomal RNA". It matches the Rfam family "Bacterial small subunit ribosomal RNA", at positions 28 to 507 of the family's 1533-position model. The record is from RNAcentral.
GAUGAACGCUGGCGGCGUGCCUAAUACAUGCAAGUCGAGCGAACAGACCAGGAGCUUGCUCCUCUGACGUUAGAGGCGGAAGGGAGAGUAACACGUGGAUAACCUACCUAUAAGACUGGGAUAACUUCGGGAAACCGGAGCUAAUACCGGAUAAUAUAUUGAACCUCAUGGUUCAAUAGUGAAAGACGGUUUUGCUGUCACUUAUAGAUUGCUCCGCGCCGGAUUAGCUAGUGGGUAAGGUAACGGCUUACCAAGGCAACGAUCCAUAGCCGACCAGUGAGGAUGCGCAGCGAGACUGGGACUGGGACACGGCCCAGACUCCGACGGGAGGCAGCAGUGGGGAAUAUAGGAGCAUGGGCGAAAGACUGAUGCAGCAAUGCCGCGUGAGCGAUGAAGACCGUAGAGUUGUAAAGCUGUUGUAACCGGGAUGAGAAUGACAGUACCGGGAGAAUAAGCCCCGGCUAACUACGUG